Molecule: ribosomal RNA, 251 nt
Filed under: uncultured bacterium
Lineage: Bacteria
Description: partial 16S ribosomal RNA
Rfam family: Bacterial small subunit ribosomal RNA
Source: RNAcentral
ACGUAGGGGGCGAGCGUUAUCCGGAUUUACUGGGUGUAAAGGGAGCGUAGACGGCGUAUCAAGUCUGAUGUGAAAGGCAGGGGCUUAACCCCUGGACUGCAUUGGAAACUGGUAUGCUUGAGUGCCGGAGGGGUAAGCGGAAUUCCUAGUGUAGCGGUGAAAUGCGUAGAUAUUAGGAGGAACACCAGUGGCGAAGGCGGCUUACUGGACGGUAACUGACGUUGAGGCUCGAAAGCGUGGGGAGCAAACAG